GCCGGCGUACAAGGACGCGGACGGAUGGCGGAGGCGUGUGUCCUUUCAUCUCACAUUGCAUUUCACUCUCACGUCUUCCGCCGUCACGCUGCGGGUUCGAAUCCCGCCGCCGGCG
This 115-nucleotide transfer RNA is filed under the name Bifidobacterium bifidum. Its description in RNAcentral is "tRNA-OTHER". The record is from RNAcentral. RNAcentral also lists the same sequence under 1 other name. Lineage: Bacteria; Bacillati; Actinomycetota; Actinomycetes; Bifidobacteriales; Bifidobacteriaceae.